RNAcentral lists this ribosomal RNA (724 nucleotides) under Candidatus Midichloria mitochondrii. RNAcentral's name for it is "bacterial SSU rRNA". It matches the Rfam family "Bacterial small subunit ribosomal RNA", at positions 26 to 779 of the family's 1533-position model. The record is from RNAcentral. Lineage: Bacteria; Pseudomonadati; Pseudomonadota; Alphaproteobacteria; Rickettsiales; Candidatus Midichloriaceae.
AGAGUGAACGCUGGCGGCGUGCUUAACACAUGCAAGUCGAACGGGCAAGAGCUGUAGCGAUACAGAGUUCUGCUAGUGGCAGACGGGUGAGUAGUACAUGGGAAUCUACCUUGCAGUGCGAAAUAACAGUUGGAAGCAAUUGCUAAUGUCGCAUAUAGCCGAGAGGUGAAAGAUUUAUCGCUGCAAGACGAGCCCAUGCAGGAUUAGCUAGUUGGUGAGGUAAUGGCUCACCAAGGCAACGAUCUUUAGUUGGUCUGAGAGGAUGAUCAGCCACACUGGAACUGAGACACGGUCCAGACUCCUACGGGAGGCAGCAGUGGGGAAUAUUGGACAAUGGGCGCAAGCCUGAUCCAGCGACGCCGCGUGAGUGAAGAAGGCCUUCGGGUUGUAAAGCUCUUUUAGUGGGGAAGAUAAUGACGGUACCCACAGAAAAAGCCCCGGCUAACUUCGUGCCAGCAGCCGCGGUAAUACGAAGGGGGCUAGCGUUACUCGGAAUUAUUGGGCGUAAAGCGUGCGUAGGCUGCUUAGUAAGUCAAAAGUGAAAGCCUUGGGCUCAACCUAAGAAUUGCUUUUGAAACUACCAAGCUUGAGUACUGUAGGGGAUAGCGGAAUUCCUAGUGUAGGGGUGAAAUUCGUAGAUAUUAGGAGGAACACCGGAGGCGAAAGCGGUUAUCUGGACAGUUACUGACGCUGUUGCACGAAAGCGUGGGGAGCAAACAGGAUU